This 465-nucleotide ribosomal RNA is filed under the name Vreelandella stevensii. Its description in RNAcentral is "partial 16S ribosomal RNA". It matches the Rfam family "Bacterial small subunit ribosomal RNA", at positions 338 to 795 of the family's 1533-position model. The record is from RNAcentral. Lineage: Bacteria; Pseudomonadati; Pseudomonadota; Gammaproteobacteria; Oceanospirillales; Halomonadaceae.
CCUACGGGAGGCUGCAGUGGGGAAUAUUGGACAAUGGGGGGAACCCUGAUCCAGCCAUGCCGCGUGUGUGAAGAAGGCCCUCGGGUUGUAAAGCACUUUCAGUGAGGAAGAACGCCUGGUGGUUAAUACCCAUCAGGAAAAACAUCACUCACAGAAGAAGCACCGGCUAACUCCGUGCCAGCAGCCGCGGUAAUACGGAGGGUGCGAGCGUUAAUCGGAAUUACUGGGCGUAAAGCGCGCGUAGGUGGCUUGAUAAGCCGGUUGUGAAAGCCCCGGGCUCAACCUGGGAACGGCAUCCGGAACUGUCAAGCUAGAGUGCAGGAGAGGAAGGUAGAAUUCCCGGUGUAGUGGUGAAAGGCGUAGAGAUCGGGAGGAAUACCAGUGGCGAAGGCGGCCUUCUGGACUGACACUGACACUGGGGUGCGAAAGCGUGGGUAGCAAACAGGAUUAGAUACCCCGGUAGUC